AACGAACGCUGGCGGCAUGCCUAACACAUGCAAGUCGAACGAGACCUUCGGGUCUAGUGGCGCACGGGUGCGUAACGCGUGGGAAUCUGCCCUUGGGUUCGGAAUAACAGUUAGAAAUGACUGCUAAUACCGGAUAAUGUCUUCGGACCAAAGAUUUAUCGCCCAGGGAUGAGCCCGCGUAGGAUUAGCUAGUUGGUGAGGUAAAGGCUCACCAAGGCGACGAUCCUUAGCUGGUCUGAGAGGAUGAUCAGCCACACUGGGACUGAGACACGGCCCAGACUCCUACGGGAGGCAGCAGUGGGGAAUAUUGGACAAUGGGCGAAAGCCUGAUCCAGCAAUGCCGCGUGAGUGAUGAAGGCCUUAGGGUUGUAAAGCUCUUUUACCCGGGAUGAUAAUGACAGUACCGGAGAAUAAGCCCCGGCUAACUCCGUGCCAGCAGCCGCGGUAAU
RNAcentral lists this ribosomal RNA (449 nucleotides) under uncultured bacterium. RNAcentral describes it as "bacterial SSU rRNA". It matches the Rfam family "Bacterial small subunit ribosomal RNA", at positions 29 to 524 of the family's 1533-position model. The record is from RNAcentral.